Non-coding RNA from Theobroma cacao (cacao), 448 nucleotides. Lineage: Eukaryota; Viridiplantae; Streptophyta; Magnoliopsida; Malvales; Malvaceae. The record is from RefSeq and is a predicted model, not a curated record.
UCAAUGAAUCAAGCAAGUAAAGGUGGUGAGCCCUCUGAUAAGGGUAAAGAUAUCGUACCCGAGGAUCGAGAAUAGGAGUACUUAUACCACUCCAAACUCCCUUUAUUGUUGGAUAGUACUAUAUUAGUCAUGUUAUGCUGUCGAAAUUUUGUUGAUUUGGUAGGUUAUGUAUUUAGCUUACUGCAGUGGGCCGGUUUUCGUGGACUAGUCUAUUGAGGGGCACGGUAAAUCCUGUUAUAUUUAUCUUAGUACGAGAGGCGCGAAGGGUAUCUCCUAAGGCUCAGGACAGUCUGUAGACGGCCGAUUUUGUUUGGAUCUGCAUCCUUAAAAAUCGAAGGUCUACAAUCUUGCAAAUUUUCGAUUAUAUCGGGGCACACAUGUCAUUGUAGAAUAUUUUCGUAUAUUUGAUUUAGUGUGCUAUUAUAUAUGUGAAUUUAUUUUGCUCUUA